GACGAACGCUGGCGGCGUGCUUAACACAUGCAAGUCGAACGGAGAGGCCCUGCUUUUGUGGGGUGCUCGAGUGGCGAACGGGUGAGUAACACGUGAGUAACCUGCCCUUGACUUUGGGAUAACUUCAGGAAACUGGGGCUAAUACCGGAUAGGAGCUCCUGCUGCAUGGUGGGGUUGGAAAGUUUCGGCGGUUGGGGAUGGACUCGCGGCUUAUCAGCUUGUUGGUGGGGUAGUGGCUUACCAAGGCUUUGACGGGUAGCCGGCCUGAGAGGGUGACCGGCCACAUUGGGACUGAGAUACGGCCCAGACUCCUACGGGAGGCAGCAGUGGGGAAUAUUGCACAAUGGGCGGAAGCCUGAUGCAGCAACGCCGCGUGCGGGAUGACGGCCUUCGGGUUGUAAACCGCUUUCGCCUGUGACGAAGCGUGAGUGACGGUAAUGGGUAAAGAAGCACCGGCUAACUACGUG
RNAcentral lists this ribosomal RNA (467 nucleotides) under uncultured bacterium. RNAcentral's name for it is "partial 16S ribosomal RNA". It matches the Rfam family "Bacterial small subunit ribosomal RNA", at positions 28 to 507 of the family's 1533-position model. The record is from RNAcentral.